Pelobates cultripes (western spadefoot toad) is the source of this 157-nucleotide non-coding RNA. The record is from the annotation of a GenBank genome assembly. Lineage: Eukaryota; Metazoa; Chordata; Amphibia; Anura; Pelobatidae.
CUAGGGGACAAUGGGAGAAAUGGGGACACUGAGAGACAUAGGGACAUUGGGAGACACUGAGACAUUGGGACACAGAGACACUAGGGACACAGUGUCCCCAUGUCUCCCAGUGUCCCCAUGUCUCCCAGUGUCCCCUAGUCUCCCAGUGUCUGUGUCC